GCGCCCGUAGCUCAGCUGGAUAGAGCGUCGGCCUUCGAAGCCGAAUGUCGUAAGUUCGAAUCUUACCGGGCGUGCCA
Molecule: transfer RNA, 77 nt
Filed under: Myxococcales bacterium 68-20
Lineage: Bacteria; Pseudomonadati; Myxococcota; Myxococcia; Myxococcales
Also listed under: 5 other names
Description: tRNA-Arg
Rfam family: tRNA
About the family: Transfer RNA (tRNA) molecules are approximately 80 nucleotides in length. Their secondary structure includes four short double-helical elements and three loops (D, anti-codon, and T loops).
Source: RNAcentral